This 114-nucleotide ribosomal RNA is filed under the name uncultured bacterium. RNAcentral describes it as "partial 16S ribosomal RNA". It matches the Rfam family "Bacterial small subunit ribosomal RNA", at positions 1369 to 1482 of the family's 1533-position model. The record is from RNAcentral.
CGUUCCCGGGCCUUGUACACACCGCCCGUCACACCACGAAAGUUGGUAACACCCGAAGCCGGUGGCCUAACCGCAAGGAAGGAGCCGUCGAAGGUGGGAUCAGCGAUUGGGGUG